Molecule: long non-coding RNA, 331 nt
Organism: Haliotis rubra (blacklip abalone)
Lineage: Eukaryota; Metazoa; Mollusca; Gastropoda; Lepetellida; Haliotidae
Exons: 2
Source: RefSeq, a predicted model, not a curated record
UGUAUAUUUAGAUUCUCUGUGAUUCUGUGUCACGAUGUGCCUGAUCUGCCUGCUGUAAGGUAGGUGAUAUAUGUAUAUUUAGAUUCUCUGUGAUUCUGUGUCACGAUGUGCCUGAUCUGCCUGCUGUAAGGUAGGUGAUAUAUACAUCCACUCAGUGUGUACAUGGAAGCUUGUCACACAAGCAGCUGGACUUGUGGUAUGAGGGAUUCAGUCACACACAUAAUCAGAAAUCCAUGUUCUGUUCAGAGAGAGUGCUUUGACUUGCCUUCCUGCCCUUAAUAUUGAUGUGUUUCCAAUCAGUUUAAAUACGGAAAUAAAUGAGAAAAUUAUA